Molecule: long non-coding RNA, 271 nt
Filed under: Olea europaea (common olive)
Lineage: Eukaryota; Viridiplantae; Streptophyta; Magnoliopsida; Lamiales; Oleaceae
Description: long non-coding RNA (OEUR_LNC014725)
Source: RNAcentral
ACGCGCCGCCUGUCCCGGAGCGCCUCGGCCUGCUGAUGAUGGGUAUGGCCUCCGUUUGUCCAACCGAGCUCUGGUUUGUGAGUAAUUGCAAAAUUUCAGAUUCGGAUUCUAAGUUGAUGAUGCGAAAAUCAGCCGAUUUUGAGCCGUUUUUUGCCACCCAAGCUCUGAUACCAGAUGUUAGGACCUUCCUCUUGCUGCUCACGCUGAUUCCCGGGCUCAGUUAACCAUUAAAACCGAGUUCAACAUCAAAACUGGAAGAACCCAUACCGCC